RNAcentral lists this long non-coding RNA (378 nucleotides) under Capra hircus (goat). RNAcentral describes it as "lncRNA (ENSCHIG00010012646.1)". The record is from RNAcentral. Lineage: Eukaryota; Metazoa; Chordata; Mammalia; Artiodactyla; Bovidae.
AUGGAGUAUUUUCUAUGGUAUGUGGUAAAAAGUUUUGACAUGAUUCAGAGUCACAGAAAAAAGGAUGAGACAGGAUGUGUCCUGAGAGUCAGGUGUGAAUCAUAUUCCAGCCACAAAAACAAGGAUUUUGAAACUUGCCUCAGGCCACAGAAAAAGGCCUCACAGCUGGAUGACAGCCCCUCCAUAGAGUGUUUCUUCCUAGAAGCAGGAGUACAGUGUCCAGCAUUACUCUGGGGCCUCAGUAAGCAUUCACCAAGAGAGCUAGUGGGUUUGGAGGCGCCAACCUUCACAGAGGGCAACUCUUCUACUCUUCACAGCAGCCAAGAUCGUGGGAAGGUGGAUCAGGCCAAAGUGAAACCCAACAUCUAUAUCACAUAG